CAGCAGCCGCGGGAAUACGUAGGUGGCAAGCGUUGUCCGGAAUUACUGGGCGUAAAGGGCGCGUAGGCGGCCAUUCAAGUUAGAUGUGAAAGCCCUGGGCUCAACCUAGGAAUUGCAUUUGAUACUGUUUGGCUUGAGUUCGGGAGAGGUGAGUGGAAUUCCCAGUGUAGAGGUGAAAUUCGUAGAUAUUGGGAAGAACACCAGUGGCGAAGGCGGCUCACUGGACCGACACUGACGCUGAGGCGCGAAAGCGUGGGGAGCAAACAGGAUUAGAUACCCCUGUAGUCCCUGUCUCUUAUAC
This 301-nucleotide ribosomal RNA is filed under the name uncultured bacterium. Its description in RNAcentral is "partial 16S ribosomal RNA". It matches the Rfam family "Bacterial small subunit ribosomal RNA", at positions 509 to 807 of the family's 1533-position model. The record is from RNAcentral.